Non-coding RNA from Meleagris gallopavo (turkey), 3228 nucleotides. The record is from RefSeq and is a predicted model, not a curated record. NCBI's taxonomy places the organism in Eukaryota, Metazoa, Chordata, Aves, Galliformes, Phasianidae.
GAGAAAAGAAGGAAAGAAAAAGAAAAAAGAGAGGAAGAAAGAAAGAGAAAAGGCAAAUGAACGCCCGCAAAGCCAAUCUCAGGGCACUCAGUGCGGUUUCCCAGGCAGGCAGCGCGGCCCCAUCCCGUCCCAUCGGAGGUUGCCGUUCUCAGCAUCCCUCCUCACCGCCAACGGGGGCAGAAAAACCCCGAACCCCGCGUUCCGUUUUUCUGUGUCCUUUCGGGGGGGGUUGAAAUUUCGGUUUGAUGUUUUAUUGCCUCGUUCGCCUUUUCCUAAAAAGAGAGGAGCGGGCGCUGUGUGAGCACCCCCUCAUCUCCCCUUACCCCCGGGCAGGGCCACAAACGAGAACUGCCAUUUCACACCGAUUUCACACCGAUUUCACACCCAUUUCACACCGAUUUCACACCCAUUUCCCCGGCGUUGCCGCUCCGCUGCUGCCCCGCGGCUCCGCGCAAAUUGCGCCUCCGCUCCGCGCAUCCUCCGCCCGCGGUCGGCCCCGCAUUCACUCGACCGGCUCCGUAGGUGGCCGUGUAUAUUUUUGUUGAAGUAGUGUUUAUGUUAAUGAAAAAGGCUGAGAUUACAAACAGACCACUGAACGCCCGGGAUGUUGCUGCCGGAUUGGUCUACGUUGUGUAUUUUAAACCUAAUCAGAAGCAAAUAUGAUUUUUUUUCCCCCCUGUGUGUGUGUGUGUGUGUGUGUGUACGUGCAUUAUUCUAGCAGAAAGAAAGUAUGGGAUGUUUGGGGAGCCCCGUGCCACCCCUGUCCCUUUACCCCGUGAUUUCAGAGCGGUGUUUUUCCCUGCACGGUUGGGGAGGGAGUGGGGGUGAAGGGAGAGGUGUCAGAGCAGCUAUCCGAGAAUUACCCCCAAAACAACGAAAACGAUCCCACUGCUCCUAGAAAGGGAAAGGAAGGGCUCAGCUCAUCCCCUCCGAACUCCCACCGACCCCAUAGAGGGGUUUCCACGCUGGUGGCAAACGGGUGUGCAUCCCUAAAGCCUCGGCUAUGGGGUGGGGUGUGUUUGGGUUUUUUCUUUGCCGGGUGUCGCUGAAAUCUGCAUCAAAAAUCCCCUCUAAUUCGGCAGUGAAAAACGCCGUUUAUAAUUUGCCACAUUAAAAAUAGACAAAUAGGUAGAUAGGUAGAUAGGUAGAUCAUAUAUUUAGAAUUUCAGCCCUUGUAAACGCAAAGUGAGCAGGAAUCAGUCCAUUCAUCGCUUAAAAGAGAUCCUGAGGGCUGUUUGAUUUUUCUUUCAGGGGUGAGCUGUGAUUUUCUUUGAUUUCAGUGCCUUUCAGGGUCUCUUUGAUUCUGGUUUCCUUAACAAAAAAUCACCCCUGAGACCCGUUCCUAUCUCUGCUGGUGAAGGUUCAAAGAAAAUAAUCCAAUUUUUGGAGACGUUCCUCUGCUGAUCGAUCACCCCCAGCACAGAGGGAUGCAUUUGGGGUCCCAGCAAAAGGGUUUCUCCCCCCCUCGACAGCUUUGCAAGCAAACGUGCGGCGGCUUUGGCAUCGCCUUCCUUCCCAAUAUUUGCCUUUUGUGGGCAAAAGCUGUCGGUGGAGCACAGCUCUCCGGCACGGCCAGUCGGAGGAUUUGUGUGCUCCGAUGUUUUACUACUGUUACGAUUCCUCAUUGACUGAAAGUACAAAGAAAAUUGCCGUGUAAACAAGUCGCCGUCUGAAGGGGAUGUGGGAGAAAUUCGGGGCAAGCAAAACCUUAGCAGGGAUUUAAAGGAAGAAGGGAAACAAGGGGGAAAACAUGACAGUCCUGUGCAAGGUUUUCUCUAUGCAAUGGCAGAAUCACUUCGGAGCUGUGCAGGGUUUUUUUUUCCCCAUGUUACCUGGGGCAGAAGAGAGCCCUAAAAUGGCUUUUUCUCCCUUAGAAUAUCUGGAUGGCAUCAAUCUGUCCCCCCACAGAAAGAGGUAGGUUCCAGCAUGAGCCUUAGGGGGUUUCGUGGUUCUCCCACCUGGAACUAGCAAUUUUUUUUUUUCCCCAUCAAACUGUAUAUUUUGCAUUCUUUCUUUUGGGGGGGCUAACCCCUUUUUUUUUUUUUUAUUUUCCUAGCAACAUUAAGCAAUGCUGCAGAGGGAUUGUCAACACCACAGCAUUUGGCUUUGGGGAAAACAUCACCGCUGUCAGAGCCAGGCAGGCCCUACAGAGGUUUCUGGCCAGCAGCUCCAAGGACUGUCACAACCAUGCUGUAUGUUUGGGAUCGUCAUGCAAUGGAGCUUUAAGUGUGAAUGGAGGACAUCCUGGCCCCACUAAAGGUGGGAUAAGAACAACUCUCACCUCGAGGGUGAGUGCUUAAAAGUGGAAGCAAAGCUAGCUGGUGGAGCAAGUGAUGGGGGCAGGCCUCCCUGAGAUGCAAAUCAGCCCACGUGCACUCAAAAUGACCCAAACCACAACCUUAUGGAGGCUCUUUUGGCUGCACUGAUGACAGAGACAGUUCCCACCAUCUGUAGAUUUCCUCAUCUUGGCAGCUCAGAGAGGAGCAGCAAGUCCUAGCUAAAUGCCUUGUGGUCCAGAUGCUAUGAACCAUCCACCCUGGUUCCAGUAAGAGCAGUGCCCCUACAACAACAUGGUAAGCAGCUGCAAGGAGGUUUGAGGGUUUGAGCCAUCCCAGGGUGGAGGUCAACUCCUCCAUCCCCACGUUUGUCAUAACCCCAAACCCAGCCACAGCACACGCAAUGAUAAAAAGGGAGCUGGCAGCACAAAACUCAUCCUGAUUUCCAGGCUGAUGUCUGCACAACUCUACUGGCUUCUCCAACAGAACCAAGAGACACAGACCUGUUUUGUCCCAAGAUUUCCCACUAGCCUAAUUACUGCUAAUUGUACCACUUGUCUAUCUCGCCAGCCGCACCCUGAGCAACGCUGAUAGGAUAUCAGUGAGAUAAGGAGCACUUGGAUAGCACAGGUAACAGAACUUUGGGAGGGGUUAUCACCACUACCACCCUCCUUUGGGGGGACACUCAGGUCCUAAGGAUGUGUGCAGGGGCUGGCAUCCAACUGUAAGCCUUUUGGGAAAAGCUACCGUGGGUUUUGGUGACUGUAUCUGCAAGCUGCAGAGAAGCAAGCUGGCAUUCAUUUCAUAGUAAUUCCUUUAAAUUUGCUUAGCAUGCGGAUUAUUUGUAUGAGCUGUUUUUGUUGUUGUUAACACAACACUGUGAAAUGGAGGUUUCAUCAUUUCAUUUUUUCCCCCCCUCCCACAGAGAAAUAAAUGCUGUUCUUUUAACAAA